RNAcentral lists this ribosomal RNA (301 nucleotides) under uncultured bacterium. Its description in RNAcentral is "partial 16S ribosomal RNA". It matches the Rfam family "Bacterial small subunit ribosomal RNA", at positions 509 to 807 of the family's 1533-position model. The record is from RNAcentral.
CAGUCGCCACGGUAAUACGGAGGGUGCAAGCGUUAAUCGGAAUUACUGGGCGUAAAGCGCACGCAGGCGGUUUGUUAAGUCAGAUGUGAAAUCCCCGAGCUUAACUUGGGAACUGCAUUUGAAACUGGCAAGCUAGAGUCUUGUAGAGGGGGGUAGAAUUCCAGGUGUAGCGGUGAAAUGCGUAGAGAUCUGGGGGAAUACCGGUGGCGAAGGCGGCCCCCUGGACAAAGACUGACGCUCAGGUGCGAAAGCGUGGGGAGCAAACAGGAUUAGAUACCCGUGUAGUCCCUGUCUCUUAUAC